AUUGAACGCUGGCGGCAGGCCUAACACAUGCAAGUCGAACGGUAACAGGAAGCAGCUUGCUGCUUUGCUGACGAGUGGCGGACGGGUGAGUAAUGUCUGGGAAACUGCCCGAUGGAGGGGGAUAACUACUGGAAACGGUAGCUAAUACCGCAUAACGUCGCAAGACCAAAGAGGGGGACCUUAGGGCCUCUUGCCAUCUGAUGUGCCCAGAUGGGAUUAGCUAGUAGGUGGGGUAACGGCUCACCUAGGCGACGAUCCCUAGCUGGUCUGAGAGGAUGACCAGCCACACUGGAACUGAGACACGGUCCAGACUCCUACGGGAGGCAGCAGUGGGGAAUAUUGCACAAAGGGCGCAAGCCUGAUGCAGCCAUGCCGCGUGUAUGAAGAAGGCCUUCGGGUUGUAAAGUACUUUCAGCGGGGAGGAAGGGAGUAAAGUUAAUACCUUUGCUCAUUGACGUUACCCGCAGAAGAAGCACCGGCUAACUCCGUG
Molecule: ribosomal RNA, 490 nt
Filed under: uncultured bacterium
Lineage: Bacteria
Description: partial 16S ribosomal RNA
Rfam family: Bacterial small subunit ribosomal RNA
Source: RNAcentral